RNAcentral lists this ribosomal RNA (496 nucleotides) under uncultured bacterium. RNAcentral describes it as "partial 16S ribosomal RNA". It matches the Rfam family "Bacterial small subunit ribosomal RNA", at positions 28 to 506 of the family's 1533-position model. The record is from RNAcentral.
GAUGAACGCUGGCGGCGUGCCUAAUACAUGCAAGUCGAGCGAACAGACGAGGAGCUUGCUCCUCUGACGUUAGCGGCGGACGGGUGAGUAACACGUGGAUAACCUACCUAUAAGACUGGGAUAACUUCGGGAAACCGGAGCUAAUACCGGAUAAUAUAUUGAACCGCAUGGUUCAAUAGUGAAAGACGGUUUUGCUGUCACUUAUAGAUGGAUCCGCGCCGCAUUAGCUAGUUGGUAAGGUAACGGCUUACCAAGGCAACGAUGCGUAGCCGACCUGAGAGGGUGAUCGGCCACACUGGAACUGAGACACGGUCCAGACUCCUACGGGAGGCAGCAGUAGGGAAUCUUCCGCAAUGGGCGAAAGCUUGACGGAGCAACGCCGCGUGAGUGAUGAAGGUCUUCGGAUCGUAAAACUCUGUUAUUAGGGAAGAACAAAUGUGUAAGUAACUAUGCACGUCUUGACGGUACCUAAUCAGAAAGCCUCGGCUAACUACGU